AAAGACAUUUCCUGGUGUGCUCAUUCUCUUCUGCUGCCCUGGAUAAUGUAACUUGUCCUUUGGCCUUUUGGCCAGCAGUCAUCCAAAUUGAUUCCUGAUGGCUUGUUCCUGCUCUCCUUGUUUCUUGAGGUGUUUUUACAGGGGAACAUGGUGACCCAGAUGGGGGAUUGAAACAAGCUGUCUGUAUCCCUUGUCAAUCUUUUCUUUCCCUUUCCUCACAGUUGAUGACUCCUGGCUGACAGGGACAAGCUGUAGUCUCUGACUGCUUUAUUCUGUUUCAUUUGAGGAGCGAGUGUUGGCGUCUCACCGGGCAGCCUGUGAAGAUUACCAGCGAAUCUCUGGCACUGAAGGGCCCCAGAUCUACAUGGGCUCUUUCACCAAACCUGCUGCAGCAGCAGCAGCAUCAUCUAAAGGAGCCUUUUCUCCCCGACUUGAGAAGUGGAGCCAGGGCAGUUUGUUCACCUCCCGCGCUGACCCAGCUGCUGCUCAGCAGCAGGAGGUCGAGGGUGACUCUCUGGAGCUACUGAGGAAAAUAGUAAACAAGGAAAAUCCCUGGAUGAAAUACACCAAACUGGAAGAUAUUGGAAGCGGGUGAGUCCAAACGCAGUUACUUCUACAUAACCAUGGGCCAGGUGUUU
RNAcentral lists this long non-coding RNA (638 nucleotides) under Zonotrichia albicollis (white-throated sparrow). Its description in RNAcentral is "lncRNA (ENSZALG00000017454.1)". Lineage: Eukaryota; Metazoa; Chordata; Aves; Passeriformes; Passerellidae. The record is from RNAcentral.